UGUGGCAGGGAGGGACAACUUAUACUGACACAGUAAUUUGAUCUCAGUAGUCGUGUUGAGCUAGUUGAAGAGUCAACUUCAUUGUGUUAUCCUCAAACCUCGUCGUACGCUGUAUAUUAUACCCAGAAAACCUUACUUUGCAGCGAUUUAGGCAAAGGGAUAGGGCAACUGGCGAAAGUUUUACGAAAUAGAAGUCAACAUUGGGGUUUCCAGAACUAUAGCAACCAUGGCGCCUUAUACAGUAAACUUGGUGACUUUCUGCGCUCUUUUGACCCUGGCUUUCGUCUGCAGCGUGAACACCCAGAAUCCAUUCUUUUGCAGAGAUUCCGAUCAGUUUACCUGCGCCAACAUCAAACCUCAUCAUUGCUACGACACCAGGAACAGAGACAUCUGCUGUGGCACCUGCAGGCGCUGGAGACGCCCCGCGCAUAUAGGGUGUGAGUAUGGAGACAGAUCUGUCAUAUGGCGAUCAGAACUCGGAAAAUACACUUGUAGAAGUUAUAUCACAUUCUUUUCGUCUUUCAAUUGUCACGAAAAUCCCGAGUUCCGACGAGACUGCUGUCAGUCAUGCGCAGAAGCCUUAGCCAGUGAGAGGUGAAUUGAAAGUGAUGACAUCAAACAUCCGGGUAAUGGAGUUUUGACCACUGGAAAGUUGCUGAAGACGAUAAUUUUACUAAGAAUACACUAAAUGUACUUUUGCACUUUUCCCACCAAUGUGGUCAUACUAAUUACCGUAUAUUCGCCGGGUUUUCGUCCGUUGCUUUGUUACGUAAAGUCUUGUAUUUCAGACCACGACGUUACUAUUUCUUUUACAUCAAAAGACCUCUGAUUUAAAUAUCGGUUUAUUCUUAAAGAAGCUGGAGGACAAUAUAGCUCAUUCCAUUUUUUCCAUUUGAAAACGACUUCCAUGUCACAUGAUGUAUCUUUCAAAACGUUGCACCCAUAUACUACAACAUAAUUUUGAGAUUUGUAAUAAAACAUUUAUAUAAGCCAUAUAGGUUGUAUAUAUUAUGAAUGACUCACUGGUGACUCAGUAAAAUAUGUUUGUUGAUGUUAGUCUAUGUUAGAAUUCCCUCAUGUCACAAGUCACAUAUGACUUAACAACUCCUCACCUUCUUAUAUCAUAUUUU
Liolophura sinensis is the source of this 1130-nucleotide long non-coding RNA. RefSeq lists it as uncharacterized. The record is from RefSeq and is a predicted model, not a curated record. NCBI's taxonomy places the organism in Eukaryota, Metazoa, Mollusca, Polyplacophora, Chitonida, Chitonidae. The transcript is spliced from 4 exons.